AUGUAUCGCUUCAACCCUGGACAAACAGAGGCGGUCACCAACUUCCUGUCGCGCCCCAUCUCCGGCAAACCGAUGCAGCACGGCGCCGAACGCCGCAGCUACCGCGCCGACGUCGAGCCCAAGGACCUCGCCUCCGUGCCCAGGGCCAAGAGCACCAGCGGCCGCUUCUUCUUCACGACGUGCACGGGGGAGAAAGAGCCGGCAGUGCUAUUAGAGCCCGUGAGCCCGCCGCCGCAGAAAAGGCGAGCGCCGGUUGCGGUUGACGCCGACCAGUCGUGGCCUAAGCGCCCACGAGUUGCCACGGCAGAGCAGCAGGCCGUCUCGGCGAGUGACGCGGUGUUGGCUUGGAUUGCAGCGGAAGAGGCAAAACACUCCUGGGCGCUCUUGCGGAGGUACAAGGAACGCCCGAAAUUCCGGCUGGACCAGCUCGAUGGGUACCAGGAGUUCGUUUCCUACACGUUGAACCUGGACAAUUGCGAUGUUGGGAUCUUUGACACCAAAUUCUUUGUAGAUUACCGUGGUCUUAUUUAA
Molecule: ribosomal RNA, 531 nt
Filed under: Triticum aestivum (bread wheat)
Lineage: Eukaryota; Viridiplantae; Streptophyta; Magnoliopsida; Poales; Poaceae
Description: partial small subunit ribosomal RNA
Source: RNAcentral